Molecule: long non-coding RNA, 230 nt
Filed under: Hordeum vulgare
Lineage: Eukaryota; Viridiplantae; Streptophyta; Magnoliopsida; Poales; Poaceae
Description: long non-coding RNA (HVUL_LNC003467)
Source: RNAcentral
GUAGGAGUACAUGGCGGGUUGUUUCAUUGGAACCGUCCUUAGGAACUGAGUUCCGUGUAUGUAAUCCAAGACUAGAUACUACCGCAUGCUGGGCCCUGAAAUAUGACCCCACUCGGCCUAUUAAUCGCUUAGUACUCGGUCCAGGAGUUGCAAGUAGUUUCUGGUGUUUAUAGUCAUGCUGGAGGCCGUGCAUAGUGCUGACCUGAGAGGUGGGCUAUGAUGCGGUAGGC